Molecule: long non-coding RNA, 582 nt
Organism: Trifolium pratense (red clover)
Lineage: Eukaryota; Viridiplantae; Streptophyta; Magnoliopsida; Fabales; Fabaceae
Exons: 2
Source: RefSeq, a predicted model, not a curated record
UAUUUAAUUGUUUUUAGCAUAACAUUUUUUUUUGACGGGGCAUAACAUGUUUUUAUACACUAUAAAGUGGAUCAAAUUAUAUUUUAGUUAUUACAUGCAAAGUGAAAAGGUAUGGUUAAAAUUCUCAAAUUUAUGUUUGCUAUGGUUUUAUUUCUUUCACUUUUUCUUGUUACAAAGAACAUUGAAGCAUACCCUGUAUGUAUAACUGUUGAAGAUUGUCCAAAAAGUUGGUUCCGCAAGUAUAAGUGCAUUAACAACCAAUGUAGAUAUAAAUUAAUUAAUCUAGAGUAGCAACCGAUUGUAUGAGUACUAGAUCCAGGAGUGUACACUUACGCCAUGCAAGGAAGAAUAAGUUCUUGCACGGGCAAAAAAUUAUGGAAUAUAUUUUAUACCAAAAUACUACAUGUAUAGUUGCCAUUUAAUUAUUGUGCUGGCACCCUAUAAUUGUUAUUUUAUUUAUUUUUAUGAUCUGACGGAUCUUGUAAUUUUAUCUUUAUACUUCUAACUUAAUUAAUGAUUCGGGUUCGAUUCUUGACUUGGACAUGUAGCAGUGUUAAAAUUCUUAGGGAGAGUUUGUCAUCA